Molecule: ribosomal RNA, 229 nt
Filed under: uncultured bacterium
Lineage: Bacteria
Description: partial 16S ribosomal RNA
Rfam family: Bacterial small subunit ribosomal RNA
Source: RNAcentral
UCCGUAGGUGGAUAAUUAAGUCAGAGGUGAAAUCCUGCAGCUCAACUGUAGAAUUGCCUUUGAUACUGGUUAUCUUGAGUCAUUAUGAAGUGGUCAGAAUGUGUAGUGUAGCGGUGAAAUGCAUAGAUAUUACACAGAAUACCGAUUGCGAAGGCAGAUCACUAAUAAUGUACUGACACUGAGGGACGAAAGCGUGGGGAGCGAACAGGAUUAGAUACCCUGGUAGUCC